AACGAACGUUGGCGGCGUGCCUAACACAUGCAAGUCGAGCGCGGGCAGGACUUCGGUCCUGUUCCGAGCGGCGCACGGGUGAGUAACACGUGAGUAACCUGCCUCGAAGUUUGGGAUAACCGCCCGAAAGGGUGGCUAAUACCGGAUAAGCCCCCACUGGCACAGGCCAGAGAGGGAAAAGACCUUGGCGCUUCGAGAUGGGCUCGCGUCCCAUUAGCUAGUUGGUGAGGUAACGGCUCACCAAGGCGAAGAUGGGUAGCUGGUCUGAGAGGAUGAUCAGCCACACUGGAACUGAGACACGGUCCAGACUCCUACGGGAGGCAGCAGUGGGGAAUAUU
Molecule: ribosomal RNA, 338 nt
Filed under: uncultured bacterium
Lineage: Bacteria
Description: bacterial SSU rRNA
Rfam family: Bacterial small subunit ribosomal RNA
Source: RNAcentral